Cyprinus carpio (common carp) is the source of this 1170-nucleotide long non-coding RNA. Lineage: Eukaryota; Metazoa; Chordata; Actinopteri; Cypriniformes; Cyprinidae. The record is from Ensembl.
AUUUCUAUUGUACAGUUUUGUUGAGAAGUGGCUUUUCAAACAUCCAGUUAUUGGCUUCUACAGCUCUACUCCUGCUCUCUGUGAACAUGCUCUAACAAGAAAUUACAUCAUAAGAUACAAAAGUUGCAAUUAUGAAAAGAUAAAGUUUCCAGGAAAGCUGGACUCAGAAACCCUGUUUUUCUCAGAGUGCUGUCAGACUGCACAAAACCCAUCCAUCAUCUUAAAAAUUCAUGUGAAAAUGUACAAUGUAGAACUGGAAGUGCAUUAAAUAUGAAGCGUCUGAGUCUCAAAGCAGAGUGCAGAGAGAUCUGAAGGGCAACAGUGUCCCCUUCUGGAGGAAGAUCUCACACAGAACCUGCUUUCAUUCUCCAGCCUCCUACAGAGAAAGCUCAGAGACUGACCUUCAAGUCAGUAAAGCAGCCCAAAUCAAUCCCUGCCCAUAACUGCACAUCCUCCCGGUCAGCAUCUUCCUGGAGAAACUCCUGCGUCUGGAGGAGCAGCAGAGCCGGAGACAUUCAUCACUGUCAGCAGCAGCUGGACGCCGCUCGCAGCUAUUUUUGGCUUCUGCCUGACAGUGAAGGAAACAGAAAGCCCAGAGGCCUGUCCCCCGUGGGUUUGGGUUUCCUGAGGUCUGUGUGAAGGGCUGCUGGGAUCGAUUGAUGCUGAAGGAGCUUCCAGAGCCGCUCCUGAAACACGUCACCAUCAAUCGGCCCGGAAAUGAGAAACUGGAGGAAGGGAAGGACUUCACGCUUGAGGAGUCGAUAUCAAAGGACUAAACGAGUUUUCUAAUCAGGGACCAAUUAUAAAACACAUGAAUAUUUUAUUCCUGAAGCAGGAUGGAUCGCGGAGGCCCUCACUCGACUGCAGCUCCUCUUUGGUGUUCGGUUAUUGAGUCUAGUGAUAUUAAAAAUGUGAAUGUGUUUAAAAGCUGCUGCCUGACUCUGUUCUGCUGGAGAUGAAGCACACAGAACACUGCAAGCAUGGCUUUAUCUCUAACUAUCUCCCUUCAUCCGGGAAGAAAUGACCUCUGAACUCAGAAUUAAACUACCAAUUGUGAAAUAUAAGCACAGAAUUAUGACUUUCUGUCCCGCAAUUCUGACAGUUCUCUGAAUUCUCACAAUUUAUUUCCAAUGUAAUAAAAAGUAAAAAAAUAGUGACUUUUUUCCCCUC